Molecule: ribosomal RNA, 430 nt
Filed under: uncultured bacterium
Lineage: Bacteria
Description: bacterial SSU rRNA
Rfam family: Bacterial small subunit ribosomal RNA
Source: RNAcentral
GGGCCCGCACAAGCGGUGGAGCAUGUGGUUUAAUUCGAUGCAACGCGAAGAACCUUACCUGGUCUUGACAUACACAGAAUCUUGUAGAGAUACGAGAGUGCCUUCGGGAAUUGUGAUACAGGUGCUGCAUGGCUGUCGUCAGCUCGUGUCGUGAGAUGUUGGGUUAAGUCCUAUAACGAGCGCAACCCCUAUUUCUAGUUGCCAGCACAUAAUGGUGGGGACUCUAGAGAGACUGCCGGUGCAAACCGUGAGGAAGGUGGGGAUGACGUCAAAUCAUCAUGCCCCUUACAUCCUGGGCUACACACGUACUACAAUGCUACGGACAAAGGGCAGCAAGUUCGCGAGGACAAGCAAAUCCCAAUAAACCCGUGGCUCAGUUCAGAUCGUAGGCUGCAACUCGCCUACGUGAAGGCGGAAUCGCUAGUAAUCG